This is an RNA transcript of Populus euphratica (Euphrates poplar), 2901 nucleotides long. It is a transcript of the gene named bifunctional dethiobiotin synthetase/7,8-diamino-pelargonic acid aminotransferase, mitochondrial-like, with no coding region annotated. Lineage: Eukaryota; Viridiplantae; Streptophyta; Magnoliopsida; Malpighiales; Salicaceae. The transcript is spliced from 15 exons. The record is from RefSeq and is a predicted model, not a curated record.
AGCACGUGACGGCACCAACAUUUCUGCUUACCUUCCCUUGGAAAGGCAAAGUCACUGUCCACAACCCGCCCCCAACCUCCCCUCCACAUUUUAAAUUUUGACACGCCCCGAAGCCGUUACAUCACUCUCUAGGCUCCUCCUUAACUCCACCUCUAGGGUUUCUCUACCUCACCAGUAGCCAUGCUCUUCCUCCACCCCCGCAGUAGCCGCCACCACUCUCUCCUCCGCAUCCACAUCAAAUUCCUCUCCACAAUUUCCUCACAGCAUUUGCACCUCCCACUCUCCUUCCCAACCUACAUGAUAUGGGGCUCCAACACUUCCCUCGGCAAAACCCUAAUUUCCACCGGCCUCGCCUCUUCCUUCCUCCUCUCCCCCCGUACCACCAACAAAACCCCCAAAUUCGUCUACCUCAAACCAAUCCAAACCGGUUUCCCUUCCGAUUCCGAUUCUCAUUUCGUCUUUUCUAAACUCUCCUCCCUCGCUUCACUCCGUUCCUCUUCUCUCUCUCUCUCUGCUUCCAAUUCCGUCCUCAAUUCCUCCCUUUCCGCUGCCAAUUCCCUCUUUGGCGACGAUUCUAAGACCAAGGGUCGGAACUUAGGGAUUUAUAAUUUGAAUUUCUCUGAGGAGAACAGGUUUGUGAAAGAUGGGGUUAAUGUGGUUUCGGAGUUGGUUUGUGAAACUUUGUAUGCAUGGAAGGAGGCUGUUUCGCCGCACUUGGCAGCAGAGAAGGAGAAUGGAGUUGUGGAGGAUUCUGUAGUGUUGGAGACUUUAGAGAAGUGUUUGAGAAAAGAAGAGGACAUAAAGGUAGAGGAAAUGGAUGUUUUUUGCGUGGUUGAGACUGCUGGUGGCGUUGCGAGUCCAGGUCCGUCUGGGACCUUACAAUGUGACUUGUACCGGCCUUUUCGCUUACCUGGUGUUCUUAUGGGAGAUGGCAGGCUAGGUGGUAUUUCUGGAACCAUUUCAGCUUAUGAGAGUUUAAAACUUCGAGGGUAUGAUAUUGUUGCUGUUGUUUUGGAAGAUCAUGGCCUUGUUAAUGAGGUGCCAUUAUUGUCAUAUUUGCGAAAUAGGGUUCCUGUAAUUGUGCUUCCACCUGUGCCACAAGAUAUGUCAAAUGACUUGGUGGAAUGGUUUGGUGAUUCUAAUGAAGCAUUUAAUUCUCUAAAGGAAAUAAUGAUAUCAACUUUUUCAGAAAGAAUUCUGAGACUGAAUGACAUGGCAAAAAAGGCAGUGCACACUUUGUGGUGGCCGUUUACUCAGCACAAACUGGUACCGGAAGAGGCUGUUACUGUUAUUGAUUCAAGAUGUGGCGAGAACUUUGCUAUCUACAAGGUCCAAGGCAAUCAGUUUAUUACUCAACAAUUUGAUGGAUGCGCUAGUUGGUGGACCCAAGGACCUGAUGCUACUCUGCAGACUGAGCUUGCUAGAGAGAUGGGUUAUACUGCUGCAAGAUAUGGUCAUGUAAUGUUUCCAGAGAAUGUUUACGAGCCGGUGUUGGAAUGUGCACAGCUUUUGCUUGAGGGUGUGGGUAAAGGGUGGGCUUCAAGGACAUACUAUUCAGAUAAUGGAUCAACGGCAAUUGAAAUUGCUCUCAAAAUGGCAUUUCGCAAAUUUUCAUUUGAUAAUGGACUCCUUUUAGAUUUUGCCAACAGUAACAGAACUGACAAAUCUGUCCAACUAAAGGUAUUGGCUCUCAAAGGAUCUUAUCAUGGUGACACUUUGGGUGCGAUGGAAGCUCAAGCACCGUCAUCUUAUACAGGCUUCCUCCAACAGCCAUGGUACACAGGAAGAGGGCUUUUUCUAGACCCUCCUACAGUGUCUAUGUCCAAUAAUAAAUGGAAUCUUUCUUUACCUGAGGGAAUGCAUUGUGAAAAUAUGAUUAAGAAAGACACGAACUUCAGCACUCGUGAUGAAAUAUUUGACAAGAGCAGGGACAAAUCAGAUCUCACAGGAGUUUAUUCCUCAUAUAUAUCGCAGAAAUUAUUACAAUACCUUGGAUUAAAAGAAUCUAUCCAUGUUGGAGCAUUGAUUAUCGAACCAGUUAUCCAAGGUGCUGGUGGAAUGCUUAUGAUUGAUCCACUUUUCCAAAGGGUGCUUGUAAGUGAGUGCCGAAGUAGAAAUAUUCCAGUUAUAUUUGAUGAAGUUUUCACAGGUUUCUGGCGUCUUGGAACAGAGUCUGCAGCAGAACUACUUGGUUGUCUACCUGAUAUAUCCUGCUUUGCAAAGCUGAUGACUGGCGGGGUUAUACCCUUGGCUGCAACAUUGGCCUCAGAUGCAGUUUUUGAUUCUUUUCUUGGAGAAUCAAAGCUCAAAGCCCUUUUGCACGGACACUCAUACUCUGCUCAUGCUAUGGGGUGCUCAGCAGCUGCUAAAUCAAUUAAAUGGUUUAAGGAUCCUCAAACAAACCAUAAUAUUAUUUCUGGGCGAAGAUUGCUUAGGGAGUUAUGGAAUGCGGAACUGGUGCAACAGAUCUCAUCACAUCCUUCGGUUGAAAGAGUGAUAGCAUUAGGAACUCUUUUUGCUCUAGAACUAAGAGCAGAAGGGCAUAAUGUUGGGUAUGCAUCCCUCUAUGCCCGCUCUCUUCUUCAGAAGCUCCGUGAAGAUGGUGUUUACAUGAGGCCUUUGGGUAAUGUCAUAUAUGUCAUGUGUGGGCCAUGCACAUCUCCUGAGAUCUGCACAAGCCUACUCAUUAAACUUUACACGAGACUUGAAGAGUUCACCCAGGUACAGCAGGGUUCCUGCUAAUUAUGAAAGUCUAGCUAAUGUUUUUUCUUUUAAAAAAUAGUGAACGAGGAUUCAAUAUAAAUAAUGAUUGUGAUACUAAUUUAAUAAUUUUCUCUUGUCAACUGAGAUGGCACCUUAUGCUAGGUGUUGAAUUAAUGACAAGUAUUAUUAAAUCUUAAA